This 153-nucleotide transfer RNA is filed under the name Euroglyphus maynei. It matches the Rfam family "tRNA". From Rfam's summary of the family: Transfer RNA (tRNA) molecules are approximately 80 nucleotides in length. Their secondary structure includes four short double-helical elements and three loops (D, anti-codon, and T loops). The record is from Rfam by way of RNAcentral. Lineage: Eukaryota; Metazoa; Arthropoda; Arachnida; Sarcoptiformes; Pyroglyphidae.
GACCGCGUAGCGCAGUGGAUAGCGCAUUGGACUUCUAGGUUUUGUUUACGAUGCAAAAAUUUUGAUUUAACCAAAAUUCUGGUAAAUUAAUGAUGCAUUUAAAGAUUUUAGAAGCCAAUCCAAAGGUCGUGGGUUCAAAUCCCACCUCGGUCG